Molecule: long non-coding RNA, 744 nt
Organism: Uranotaenia lowii
Lineage: Eukaryota; Metazoa; Arthropoda; Insecta; Diptera; Culicidae
Exons: 3
Source: RefSeq, a predicted model, not a curated record
GGUGUGAAAAACACGAAGUGAACAAACGCAAUUGCAAACAAAAAAACACCAAACUGCUGCAAAGUAGUGACAAAAUCGGGGUGGCUGAGGUGUGUUUAAAAGCUGGAAGCUAAUUGCAGGAAGAGGGUUUUGGUUCCGAGCAGCGAAAACAGACGAUCAAUCCGAUGGGAGCACAGGCACCAAUCGGAGCCAGCAGCCACCACAGUUCGAGACUCAAGUCGCAGAUUGACCUCCUCGUCAGGAAGAGAAGCUCGAUUCCAGCAGUUCUUUAUUAUUGCAUCAAUUAUUAGGUUUUCGGAAUUAAUUGUUCAGCGGCCAAGAUACCAUUUCGACGAAAUAGACCCUUUACACGCCAGUCGCGAUGAGUAGUCCAGCGGGAUCAGUGCGGCAGCAGCUUUCAUCACAGCGGCAGAAGAAACCUCAGCAUUGUCGGUGCCUAAAUCCUUCAACAACAGAAAGCAAUUCAGAUGCUGGGAAAUUAUCUGGGCAACGCUCACAACUGCGAUUGCCGCCCAUAAGUCGACCGCCAGGAAAAAUCAAAAGGAAUCCUAAAAAUUAUUUCCCAAACGAUACAGUGAGAUCAAAAUACUGAUCACGACUUGGAUCAAACACAGGAAGAUCGACAUUGCCAAAGGUAUCAGCUAUCUAUUCGAAUGUUAUUUUGGAAUUUAAAAAAAAAAUGAAAUCCGCUUUGAAUGCGAUGAAACCUUAUUUUGGCAGGCGAAUUAAUUGUGCCUUAAUUGU